GGGUUGUGAGGUUAAGCGACCAAGCGUACACGGUGGAUGCCCUGGCAGUCAGAGGCGAUGAAGGACGUGCUAAUCUGCGAAAAGCGCCGGUAAGGUGAUAUGAACCGUUAUAACCGGCGAUGUCCGAAUGGGGAAACCCAGUGUGACUCGUCACACUAUCAUUAACUGAAUCCAUAGGUUAAUGAGGCGAACCGGGGGAACUGAAACAUCUAAGUACCCCGAGGAAAAGAAAUCAACCGAGAUUCCCCCAGUAGCGGCGAGCGAACGGGGAGGAGCCCAGAGCCUGAAUCAGCAUAUGUGUUAGUGGAAGCGUCUGGAAAGGCGCGCGAUACAGGGUGACAGCCCCGUACACAAAAGUGCAUAUGCUGUGAGCUCGAUGAGUAGGGCGGGACACGUGGUAUCCUGUCUGAAUAUGGGGGGACCAUCCUCCAAGGCUAAAUACUCCUGACUGACCGAUAGUGAACCAGUACCGUGAGGGAAAGGCGAAAAGAACCCCGGCGAGGGGAGUGAAACAGAACCUGAAACCGUGUACGUACAAGCAGUGGGAGCAUGAGUUUACUCAUGUGACUGCGUACCUUUUGUAUAAUGGGUCAGCGACUUAUAUUCUGUAGCAAGGUUAACCGUAUAGGGGAGCCGCAGGGAAACCGAGUCUUAACCGGGCGUUAAGUUGCAGGGUAUAGACCCGAAACCCGGUGAUCUAGCCAUGGGCAGGUUGAAGGUUGGGUAACACUAACUGGAGGACCGAACCGACUAAUGUUGAAAAAUUAGCGGAUGACCUGUGGCUGGGGGUGAAAGGCCAAUCAAACCGGGAGAUAGCUGGUUCUCCCCGAAAGCUAUUUAGGUAGCGCCUCGUGAACUCAUCUCCGGGGGUAGAGCACUGUUUCGGCCAGGGGGCCAUCCCGGCUUACCAACCCGAUGCAAACUGCGAAUACCGGAGAAUGUUAUCACGGGAGACACACGGCGGGUGCUAACGUCCGUCGUGAAGAGGGAAACAACCCAGACCGCCAGCUAAGGUCCCAAAGUCAUGGUUAAGUGGGAAACGAUGUGGGAAGGCCCAGACAGCCAGGAUG
RNAcentral lists this ribosomal RNA (1070 nucleotides) under Salmonella enterica. RNAcentral describes it as "partial 23S ribosomal RNA". It matches the Rfam family "Bacterial large subunit ribosomal RNA", at positions 1 to 1100 of the family's 2925-position model. Lineage: Bacteria; Pseudomonadati; Pseudomonadota; Gammaproteobacteria; Enterobacterales; Enterobacteriaceae. The record is from RNAcentral.